RNAcentral lists this ribosomal RNA (429 nucleotides) under Chloroflexota bacterium. RNAcentral describes it as "Chloroflexi bacterium partial 16S ribosomal RNA". It matches the Rfam family "Bacterial small subunit ribosomal RNA", at positions 355 to 776 of the family's 1533-position model. The record is from RNAcentral. Lineage: Bacteria; Bacillati; Chloroflexota.
UGGGGAAUAUUGCACAAUGGGCGCAAGCCUGAUGCAGCCAUGCCGCGUGUAUGAAGAAGGCCUUCGGGUUGUAAAGUACUUUCAGUCGGGAGGAAGGUGGUAAGGUUAAUAACCUUAUCAAUUGACGUUACCGACAGAAGAAGCACCGGCUAACUCCGUGCCAGCAGCCGCGGUAAUACGGAGGGUGCAAGCGUUAAUCGGAAUUUCUGGGCGUAAAGCGCACGCAGGCGGUUGAUUGAGUCAGAUGUGAAAUCCCCGGGCUUAAACCGGGAAUUGCAUCUGAUACUGGUCAGCUAGAGUAUUGUAGAGGGGGGUAGAAUUCCAUGUGUAACGGUGAAAUGCGUAGAGAUGUGGAGGAAUACCGGUGGCGAAGGCGGCCCCCUGGACAAAGACUGACGCUCAGGUGCGAAAGCGUGGGGAGCAAACAGG